UUCCUCGUUGCCUUUGAAUGGGACCCUUGAUCCAAGGCUUUCAGAGACCAGCCGGUGCUGAUGGGGGUCCGUGACUUGGCGGUGGCGCCUGUUUGCUCCUUCUCUGUCUCGAGCAUGGUUUUCUAUCCUGCCGGGGAGGGCGAGAGCGCUGGGCAGAGGUGGCACCUGACCCGCUAGAACUCCGAUGUCACUGCUGUGGCUGUUACUCCCCUCGGCAAGAGUCAAGGCGCACGCAGGACGUGAAUCCUGCAAUGGACUGACCUCAUCUUCCCGAGGCUGUGAUGUUUCAGGAGAGUUUCACUAUUGCUGACCAACUGAGACCACCAGGAGCUCCUAAGUGCAAAGAGUAAGUGUUUUCUCCAACAAGAUAAUGUUUCCAAAACCAAACAACUUCAGUUGACCUUAUUCACCAUGUCUCUUCCAGGAGACAGGAAUCCUUUCUGCAACCAGAGGCUAUUACGAGUGUAAGUCAAAUAAUAAUUUUUCCAUCUUCAUAAUCACCACAGUAGUUUCAUGAACUUUGACUACCAUUGAGGAUCCCAGAUAACUCUUUGAAUUAAAAGGAUAACUUUUGUAUGCUAUUUAUUUAUUUCCCCCAGGGAUGCUCAGUAGGCUGUUUGGGCAUUUGUGCUGAUCCCUCUGCUAUUGUUACACCUGGCUCGGAGUUCCUUCAUCAUGGGACCCGUGCACUCGGGCCUGUGGUGAUGACAAUACCUUUUCAGGAAGACUGUGUCUUUCAUCUACACAAACCUAAAACCCUGCCUGACCACUAGGGAAGGAAGUAUUGAGUGGAGUGUUAGGCACAUCAGUCUCAUGGCCUUGGGGAAGCUAUUCACUUCUUUGAACCUCUCUCUAUUUUCUGUAUAAAGUGAGAGGGGGAGGUUUGAAUAAGUACUUCCUUCCACUUCCAAGAUCACAGAAACUUAAGGGCUGGGUGAUAGGUCAAGUUUAAGAAGAGUAAAAAUUCAACCAUCUCUGGGAAGAACCAAAUCUAGGACUCAACACAAUUUGGCUUCUUAAAGGAACCUUCCUACUUCCAAGAAUGAUGGAGAGCUACAUGGAGAGAAGUCUAUGACUUGGCAUUCUGAGUUACGAUCUUCACCCCCCCCCCAUAAGGGCUGGUGGAGGUCGAAAGCAGAAUACAAUUACCAUUGUACUUGCUGUUGCUAUUAAGUUGGAGACAUUGAACUUUAAGCCACUCCAGAGCAAAUUGUCUUGUACAUGGACACAGAAUAGUUGAAAACAAGAGAACUCACUCCUGUUAUAGUUUCUAUCCUGAGUGUCUUCCAAAGGUCUGUGUGCUAAUGGCUGGCCUGGCAGCCUGUGGUCCUACUGGGAGGAGAUAGAACCUUUAGGAGGGAGGUAGGGUCAAGUGGAAGAAAGUUAGGUCAUUGGGGCUAUGUCCAUGGAGGAGACAUUGAGACUGUGCCCUUUGGUAGGGAUGAUAUGAGUAAGUAUCUUCUGCCACAGGGUUCUGCCAUGAUGUACUUUGAAGCAACAGACCCAAAAAACCAGAACUGACACUUGUAAACUCAUGAGCCGAAAUAAAUCUUUCCCCUUAAAAGUUGGUUGUGUCAAGCAUUUUGGCAUAGUGAUGGAGGCUCAGCUAACACAGCUACAGAGUUAGCUCAGACCAUGGGUGCUAGCUCAUGCUCAAAUCCCAUGUCCACCACGUU
Molecule: long non-coding RNA, 1676 nt
Filed under: Mus musculus (house mouse)
Lineage: Eukaryota; Metazoa; Chordata; Mammalia; Rodentia; Muridae
Description: Mir100 Mirlet7a-2 Mir125b-1 cluster host gene
Source: RNAcentral